UACGUAGGGGGCAAGCGUUGUCCGGAUUUAUUGGGCGUAAAGAGCGUGUAGGCGGCUUCACAGGUCCGCUGUGAAAACUCGAGGCUCAACCUCGAGCUGUCGGUGGAAACCGUGUGGCUAGAGUCCGGAAGAGGAGAGUGGAAUUCCCGGUGUAGCGGUGAAAUGCGCAGAUAUCGGGAAGAACACCCGUGGCGAAGGCGGCUCUCUGGGACGGUACUGACACUGAGGCGCGAAAGCGUGGGGAGCGAACAGG
Molecule: ribosomal RNA, 253 nt
Filed under: uncultured bacterium
Lineage: Bacteria
Description: partial 16S ribosomal RNA
Rfam family: Bacterial small subunit ribosomal RNA
Source: RNAcentral